GAUGAACGCUGACAGCAUGCUUAACACAUGCAAGUCAACUUGAACUUCGGUUUGGGUGGCGGACGGGUGAGUCACGCGUAAAGAACUUGCCUCACAGAUAGGGACAACAUUUGGAAACGAAUGCUAAUACCUGAUAUUAUGAAUAUAUGGCAUCGUAUAAUUAUGAAAGUUAUAUGCGCUGUGAGAGAGCUUUGGGUCCCAUUAGCUAGUUGGAGAGGUAACGGCUCACCAAGGCGAUGAUGGGUAGCCGGCCUGAGAGGGUGAUCGGCCAGGAGGGGACGUAGACAGGGCCCUUGCAGCAACGGGAGGAAGUAGUGGGGAAUAUUGGUCAAUGGACCAAGAGUCUGAUACAACGAUUCUGUGAGGAAGAUUAAGUUUUUCGGAAUGUAAAGUGCUUUCAGUUGGGUAGAAGAAAAUGACGGUACCAACAGAAGAAGAAACGGCUAAAUACGUG
Molecule: ribosomal RNA, 454 nt
Filed under: uncultured bacterium
Lineage: Bacteria
Description: partial 16S ribosomal RNA
Rfam family: Bacterial small subunit ribosomal RNA
Source: RNAcentral